Molecule: ribosomal RNA, 253 nt
Filed under: uncultured bacterium
Lineage: Bacteria
Description: partial 16S ribosomal RNA
Rfam family: Bacterial small subunit ribosomal RNA
Source: RNAcentral
UACGGAGGGUGCAAGCGUUAUCCGGAUUCACUGGGUUUAAAGGGUGCGUAGGCGGCCCUGUAAGUCAGUGGUGAAAUACUCCAGCUUAACUGGAGGGGUGCCAUUGAUACUGCAGGGCUUGAGUGGAGUCGAAGUAGGCGGAAUUGACGGUGUAGCGGUGAAAUGCUUAGAUAUCGUCAAGAACACCGAUAGUGAAGACAGUUUACUAGGCUUCUACUGACGCUGAGGCACGAAAGUGUGGGGAUCAAACAGG